CGGCGCCGGGCGAGCGGAGGCGGGGAACGGUGUGGGCGCGAGGCCGGGCGCGUGUGGGGGCUUGCGAGUGGGGCAGUGGGUGCCGUGACUGUGAAGGCGCUGGGCGGGCGUGCGCGCGCGCGAGGCGGCGGGUCUGUGCCUGUGCCGGGGGGGCCCCGUGUGUGCGGUAUGCGCCCGGGACGGGGUGCGGGGCUGUGCCUGGAACGGACGGCUUCCGGGGCCGGGCCCCACCUGGCGGGCGCCGGCAGUCGUCGGGCUGCCUGUGCGGUGGCCGAGGCAAACUGCCGGGGCCGUCUCACCCCAGAGGUGGAGGGUGGGUGUCGGGAGGGCGCUAGACGUCGCAGGGCCCCGCGGCUGAGUUCGGGGCAGCGGCCGCUUCCCGUAGCCCAGGGUCACCUGGCAGCCUAGGAGCAGAAUGGAGAUUCCGAUUCAGGCUCUCACCUUUAAGUCCCGGAUCCUCAUUUUGACCUGUCUGGCCCAGCCGCAGUCUGACUCUCGCAGAACGCUGUUGGGACAAGGGCUUUGCGGCCAGAGAUCAAGAAAUCUGGCUUCCAGUCCAGGCCCUGCCAGCCAGCCGCUGAGAAACCUGGGCGCGUUCGCACCGUGCUGUCUUGGCCUCAGGGUCCUGGCUGAAACAGAGUUGGUGCGAUUCUGCCUGUACUGGCAGCAGCUGGCCGAGUGCUUUCGGGCUGGGAAACUCCACAGAGGUGAAGAAUUAACGUUAACGAGUUUGCACGUGUCGUCCGAGCCUUCUCCAGUCUCAUGUACGCUAUUAAUUUACUCGGCCAAAGAGUCCUCUGUGAUGCUGAGAUAACCCUCACUCCUGCUCUCACCUGGAUUUGUCGUAAAUUGCAGGCUGGUGUGUCGUG
This is a long non-coding RNA of Physeter macrocephalus (sperm whale), 869 nucleotides long. RefSeq lists it as uncharacterized. NCBI's taxonomy places the organism in Eukaryota, Metazoa, Chordata, Mammalia, Artiodactyla, Physeteridae. The record is from RefSeq and is a predicted model, not a curated record. The transcript has 3 exons.